GGGAAAUACACAGAAAAAAAUUACCUCGGGAUUGCCUCCUACCAGCUAAAACACGUAGCCAAGGCAGCUUGUAGAUGCCACGAUUCGAUGCUUAAUAAACACAUGGGCAUGGGUAUUAUAUCGAUCUUCAAUGCAGCUGGUUGGGAGGUGAGGUCUCAAUGUUGGAUCACAUGAAAUCGAUUAUCAAAAGGGAUUUGGAAUUGCUUAGGCGGCUGAAAUAAUUAAUGUUG
Molecule: long non-coding RNA, 230 nt
Filed under: Nicotiana benthamiana
Lineage: Eukaryota; Viridiplantae; Streptophyta; Magnoliopsida; Solanales; Solanaceae
Description: long non-coding RNA (NBEN_LNC027412)
Source: RNAcentral